GGAUGCGAUCAUACCAGCACUAAAGCACCGGAUCCCAUCAGAACUCCGAAGUUAAACGUGCUUGGGCGAGAGUAGUACUAGGAUGGGUGACCUCCUGGGAAGUCCUCGUGUUGCAUCCCCGC
This 122-nucleotide ribosomal RNA is filed under the name Zizania latifolia. Lineage: Eukaryota; Viridiplantae; Streptophyta; Magnoliopsida; Poales; Poaceae. The record is from RNAcentral.